CUAAAACUCUUCAUGCUGAACUAAAUACUUUGUUGCACAACCACUUUCUUAUCUCAUGCACACCCUCUCCUUAGCACCCAAAAAGAUCUCAUCUGAUUUAAUCUAAGGCAUUGAAAUUAAAUCAAAAAUUGGAAAGGUGGGGAGAUAAGGAUGUGAUGCAAGAAAGAAAUAUCUUCUCACCAUAAGCGCACGUCCACUUUUCCUCAAACUUUUGUCACACA
Molecule: long non-coding RNA, 221 nt
Filed under: Elaeis guineensis (African oil palm)
Lineage: Eukaryota; Viridiplantae; Streptophyta; Magnoliopsida; Arecales; Arecaceae
Description: long non-coding RNA (EGUI_LNC036747)
Source: RNAcentral